RNAcentral lists this microRNA (19 nucleotides) under Pristionchus pacificus. RNAcentral describes it as "ppc-miR-8286b-3p". Lineage: Eukaryota; Metazoa; Nematoda; Chromadorea; Rhabditida; Neodiplogasteridae. The record is from miRBase by way of RNAcentral.
UGGCAAGAACUUUGGCACG